This 1284-nucleotide long non-coding RNA is filed under the name Homo sapiens (human). RNAcentral describes it as "long non-coding RNA NONHSAT179769". Lineage: Eukaryota; Metazoa; Chordata; Mammalia; Primates; Hominidae. The record is from RNAcentral.
CAAACAGCAUUUAUUAUUAAUUUGCUUCCAUGAGAAAACACCUUUACAUCAGAUCCCUGUGGACAAUCUGCUACCAGGUACAUCUUCUCCUUCUGUUUCUGCUUCUGGGGACAUUAGACUUUCUAUGGACUCUCCUAAGCCGAUGUCCUACAAAGCUUGUCUUUCUAUCCUCUCCACUCUGAGUGUCAGGUGAAGAAAGCUCUGUCCUUGCCCAGAUGAGGCUCUGAGGGCUGAGCCCUGGCUGGUGAACAGCUCCAGGAGACACAGUCCUCUGACAGCUGGUAAAUUCUUGGUCCCAGUAAGGCCUGCCCAAGAAGGAACAACCCAGCACUGGCACAGGCUCCUCAGCUUUAUCUGGAGCAAGGAUUUAGGGACAGAGGUCUGGGGUUGAGGCUUCUAGGGCUGAGCUGCUCUGAGAGUAUCUCAGGGGGCCCCUCAGGCCAGCCCUACUCAGUUCUCCAGGGUCUUUGUCAGCGUCAAAUUUAUGAAGAGGGCAUGAGGUGCUUGUCUGAGACUGAUCUCCUCCUGCUGAGUCCCCCCAUCAGACUGUCCUUCCUCUGCAGCGAGUGUCUGCAGGGUCUGAAUGCGGGAAAGGAAUUCUGAUCUGUUGAAAUUUGUCUCCUCUGUGUGUCCUGCACUAAAUGCCCAAACCCCAGCAUGGGACUUAAUGCAGAGAGGGACACAGGCAGAGUCCAGGCCUGAGAAUCCUGUGUGUGUGAAGUAGAAGUGACCCCUGUCCCCCAACACCCAGGGAUCAUGUGGAAUCACUCACGGUGUAAGGUGAAGGUGAAAUGUCCAGUUACUCCUCCAGUCCCAUCGCGUCGCUUUAUGAUGUGUAAGGUGUAGGAUCCUGCAUCCUCCUGCGUGACAUUCUGGAUCAGCAGGGAUGCAUUGGAAUAUACUCUUUCUCUUCCACUGUAUGCAGGCCCAUAUAUAAUUCUUUGACCGUCUACUACAUAUGAUGUAAUGUAAUGGUAGAGGUAUGUCAUUUGCCCUUUGUACCAAAUGUAGCCAGCAAGAUUCUGGGGCAAAUUGUGGACAAGUAGAAGAACAUCCUUCCCCUCAGAAACUUUGGGUGGCUGGGCUUCAAUCGUGACUUGGGCAGUUGUGGGCGGAUUCCAGAAGUUUAAAAGUGAUGCUAGGAGGACCCCCUUCCAGGUGAUGCGCUGUGUGCAGGGAGGGGCUGAGAGGGGCCCCAUGGUCUCUGCUGCUUGUGUGUUCUCCUCUGUGGAGAUAAGCCUAGGAUCCAGAAGCUUCCUGAGUACGGCUGUCAGCUGUGCUGUC